Molecule: long non-coding RNA, 1092 nt
Filed under: Gossypium barbadense (sea-island cotton)
Lineage: Eukaryota; Viridiplantae; Streptophyta; Magnoliopsida; Malvales; Malvaceae
Description: long non-coding RNA (GBAR_LNC001074)
Source: RNAcentral
UAAAAUUUCAUUUGGCAGAUUAUUUGCUCAAAAAGCCUUAAAACCCCUUUUCAAAACUCUCUUAACCUCUCCCCCUUUGGCCGACUCUUGGGCUUCACUGGCACAUAAUGUGCCUCCACCACCGCCGAAACCCAAAGCCCUUUUUUGGUUCCGUUUCCAUGCCAGAGAGACUCCGACGACAGAACCGCAGGCGUAUUUAGAUAAACUCUUCUCUUUUUCUUAUUUUCUUAUGCUAAAAAAAACCACAUGCAAACUUCAAAGAAGAAAACCCAUUCAAAAAAGAAAAGAAAAAUGGGACUUGAAAUCACCUUUCAAAAAUAAUUUCGGCUUGAUUUUUUUGUAUUUUGUAUUUCAGUGUGCGUAAUAUGCGUGUAACCUUACAAACGAUGAAAUCUCUUGGCUUUAUAGCUGAAGAGAUAGAAAUGAUAAAAAAGAAAUAAAAAAAUACAAUAUUUGUUCUUUGUUUUGCUGUGCGUUCGUCCUUUUUGCAGGUACAGGUGUGCGUGGCGCGAGUACGGGGGUUGUGCUGGCGUACGGAGGCGCGGGCGUGGCUGCUGGAACGCUGGAGCAUACGGAGGUGGUGGCGCGUGUGACGAGCUGAGCGGCGCCUAGGGUUUUCCUUCCCUCCUUUGGCUGAAAAAUGUUUAGGAUAGUUGGGCUAGUUAGGCUUUAGGGUUUCUAGAAUUUUGGGCUUGUUUAGGCCUGGGUUUAAGGUGUAAAUGGACAUUCAUUUUGGACUAUUUUAUUUUUAUUUGGGUUUUAUAUUUAUUUUUGUUUGUAACGGGCUGGGCAAAUUUGGCCUACUACAAUUAUUUUGUAAUUGUUUAAUGCCACACCAGCAAUUUCAUUCUUACUUUCAGGAUUUUCAUUUAAAUUUGAUUUUUUUGUUUAGGAUGAAAAUGCUGACGUAGUAUUAAAUUAUUGGUAAAAUGAUACAAAUAAUGUGGCGUUACUGUUUUAUACAAUAAUUCCCCCUUAAAUGAGUUGGUGUUACCCAUCAAUCAAUUUCCAUUUCAAUUGAAAAAUUAUCAAAAACUUAUUCUUUUUAUAAAGUAAAAAUUAUUAUUAAAAGGGUGGUUUGGAUAAGACACC